Molecule: ribosomal RNA, 403 nt
Filed under: bacterium
Lineage: Bacteria
Description: partial 16S ribosomal RNA
Rfam family: Bacterial small subunit ribosomal RNA
Source: RNAcentral
UGGGGAAUAUUGCACAAUGGAGGGAACUCUGAUGCAGCGACGCCGCGUGAACGAAGAAGGCUUUCGAGUCGUAAAGUUCUUUUAUAUGGGAAGAUAAUGACGGUACCAUAAGAAGAAGCCCCGGCUAACUACGUGCCAGCAGCCGCGGUAAUACGUAGGGGGCUAGCGUUGACCGGAAUCACUGGGCGUAAAGGGUUCGCAGGCGGAAAUGCAAGUCAGGUGUAAAAGGCAGUAGCUUAACUACUGUAAGCAUUUGAAACUGCAUAUCUUGAGAAGAGCAGAGGUAAGUGGAAUUUUUAGUGUAGCGGUGAAAUGCGUAGAUAUUAAAAAGAAUACCGGUGGCGAAGGCGACUUACUGGGCUCAUUCUGACGCUGAGGAACGAAAGCGUGGGUAGCAAACAGG